GGCACCUGAUCCAUCAAUGCGCGUGAGUGAAGAAGGCUUCGGGUUGUAAAGCUCUUUUGUCAGGGAAGAAACACCGGCUCUAACACAGUCCGGGAAUGACGGUACCUGAAGAAUAAGCACCGGCUAACUACGUGCCAGCAGCCGCGGUAAUACGUAGGGUGCGAGCGUUAAUCGGAAUUACUGGGCGUAAAGCGUGCGCAGGCGGUUAUACAAGACAGGCGUGAAAUCCCCGGGCUUAACCUGGGAAUGGCGCCUGUGACUGUAUAGCUAGAGUGUGUCAGAGGGGGGUAGAAUUCCACGUGUAGCAGUGAAAUGCGUAGAUAUGUGGAGGAAUACCAAUGGCGAAGGCAGNCCCCUGGGAUAACACUGACGCUCAUGCACGAAAGCGUGGGGAGCAAACAGGAUUAGAUACCCUGGUAGUCCACGCCCUAAACGAUGCUGACUAGUUGUUCGGGAUUUACAUCCUGAGUAACGUAGCUAACGCGUGAAGUCAGACGGCUGGGGAGUACGGUCGCAAGAUUAAAACUCAAAGGAAUUGACGGGGGACCCGCACCAAGCGGUGGAUGAUGUGGAUC
This 575-nucleotide ribosomal RNA is filed under the name uncultured bacterium. RNAcentral's name for it is "bacterial SSU rRNA". It matches the Rfam family "Bacterial small subunit ribosomal RNA", at positions 378 to 947 of the family's 1533-position model. The record is from RNAcentral.